GCUGGAAUAGUUUAAUUAAAAUUUUAAUUUGUGGAGUUAGAGAUGUAUAUUUAUACUUUUGGCC
Molecule: transfer RNA, 64 nt
Filed under: Falconius longicornis
Lineage: Eukaryota; Metazoa; Arthropoda; Insecta; Orthoptera; Tetrigidae
Description: tRNA-His
Source: RNAcentral